UACGGGGGGGGCAAGCGUUGUUCGGAAUUACUGGGCGUAAAGGGCGCGUAGGCGGCCUGUUAAGUCGAACGUGAAAUCCCCGGGCUCAACCCGGGAACUGCGUCCGAUACUGGCAGGCUUGAAUUCGGGAGAGGGAUGUGGAAUUCCUGGUGUAGCGGUGAAAUGCGUAGAUAUCUGGAGGAAUACCGGUGGCGAAGGCGGCAUCCUGGACCGGCAUUGACGCUGAUGAGCGAAAGCUAGGGGAGCAAACGGG
Molecule: ribosomal RNA, 253 nt
Filed under: uncultured bacterium
Lineage: Bacteria
Description: partial 16S ribosomal RNA
Rfam family: Bacterial small subunit ribosomal RNA
Source: RNAcentral